RNAcentral lists this ribosomal RNA (460 nucleotides) under uncultured bacterium. RNAcentral's name for it is "partial 16S ribosomal RNA". It matches the Rfam family "Bacterial small subunit ribosomal RNA", at positions 338 to 795 of the family's 1533-position model. The record is from RNAcentral.
CCUACGGGAGGCAGCAGUGAGGAAUAUUGGUCAAUGGGCGCAAGCCUGAACCAGCCAAGUAGCGUGAAGGAUGACUGCCCUACGGGUUGUAAACUUCUUUUAUAAAGGAAUAAAGUGAGGCACGUGUGCCUUUUUGUAUGUACUUUAUGAAUAAGGAUCGGCUAACUCCGUGCCAGCAGCCGCGGUAAUACGGAGGAUCCGGGCGUUAUCCGGAUUUAUUGGGUUUAAAGGGAGCGUAGAUGGGUUGUUAAGUCAGUUGUGAAAGUUUGCGGCGCAACCGUAAAAUUGCAAUUGAUACUGGCAGUCUUGAGUACAGUUGAGGUAGGAGGAAUUCGUGGUGUAGCGGUGAAAUGCUUAGAUAUCACGAAGAAAUCCGAUUGCGAAGGCAGCCUACUAAAAUGCCACCGACAGCGAUGCCUGAAAGUGUGGGUAUCAAACAGGAUUAGAUACCCUGGUAGUC